This 577-nucleotide long non-coding RNA is filed under the name Vigna radiata. RNAcentral describes it as "long non-coding RNA (VRAD_LNC007996)". Lineage: Eukaryota; Viridiplantae; Streptophyta; Magnoliopsida; Fabales; Fabaceae. The record is from RNAcentral.
GGACCCUCGUGCUCCAGAGGCGGAUCCAAAGGCAGUCGCUUACCUAGGUACUUCGGUGUAGCAUAUAUAGCUGCAUACCUUUUUCACUGUGUCAAAGCCUCUUUACUUUUGAAGAUUCGCCGCCCUUGAAGUCUUGUUGCCGUCGAAGGCUCUCGCCGUCGAAGGUUCUCGCCGUCCAAGGCUCGUCACCGGUGAAGGCUCACCGCCGUCGAAGGCUCGCUGCUGUGGAAGGCUUUGCCGCACUCUGCCGUCGCCGAACUGUCGAAGGUUCUACCACCAUCGGUCGAAGAUUCUGAGAACAGUUCUCCUGUGUAAAUAUGGAACCCUAAGCUACAAAUGUUUUUCCUGUGUUGUUCAAACAUUUUUGAAAUGCAUUUUCAGAUUUAUGUAAGGUUUUUUUCUUCCCCUUCUCCUCAUUUUGGUUCUGGGGUGCUCUAAAAAUUAAUCUGUGUUUCCUUGGUUUCUAGGUCAUUAAGGUUUGGGGCUGUGCUGCUUGCCUUCUUCUUUUCUUCGUCCACUCUCACAAAGUUUGGAGAGGAUAAGAAGCGAACACUAAGGAAGGUGGUCAAAGAAACUG